GCUCUACGUUGUGGUCACAUGGGCUCUACGUAGGCUGUUUCUGAGGAUACGUAUCCAUCACGUGUCUUAUACGCAGCUGUGAAGUUGUAAUCGGAAUGGUCCAUGUGUGCCGGGUGGGUUUAUCUGUGAGAGUAAUUUGGUGGAGUACAGAACGAGAUGGCGUCCCGGAAUUUUUUGAACGACUGUCGUAGAACGUUUUUAGAAUGUACCCGAGUUUUAUCGUCGGAUGACCAGCAACUUGAUAAUGUUCAGCCUGUUAUAACCAGAUUGGAGACAAUGGCCUCGAGCAUUCGCUGGGCCAGUGGGCGACUCAUUGAAGCCGAAGUGGCUGAUGAAAUGAUUGGGCUCAUCAAUGAAUUAAUUCAGGAAGCCAGCAAUCAACAUCAACCUUCUUUUCCUGGUUUCACUGUACCUCGAAGGGCAGGACAUGUGGGAAGAUCAGUUUGUCAAAUAACACAACAGCAGCUGCAGAUGUUAUUAUCAUUUAACUUUUCUGGCAAACAGAUUGCAAACAUAUUGGGUGUAUCAAGAAGCACAGUGAAGCGACAGUUAAGGGUCGUUACACAACUCUAUCAGAUGAAGCACUUGACAGCAGUGUGCUGGAGAUUGUCUCUGCCAAUGACGAAAUAGGACCUGAAGCUGUUAGGGCUCGGCUUGCUGGUGAAGGCAUCCUAGUCCAGAGACGACGUGUGCAGCAAAGUGUAAUCAGGACUAAUCCUGAAGGUGCUGCUCUUCGGACAAUGUCCCACAGGCUUCACAGAAGAACAUACAAAGUGGCAGGACCAAAUUCACUGUGGCAUGUAGAUGGAAAUCAUAAACUCAUAGGUGGAGAAUUGUGAUCCAUGGAGGUGUUGAUGGGUACAGCAGAUUUGUGGUUUUCCUACAAGCUUCAAACAACAAUAGAAGUGACACUGUUAUGAACCUGUUAAUUGGAGCAGUCAGCCAGUAUGGUGUCCCUUCAAGGGUCAGAUGUGACCAUGGAGGGGAAAACAAUGGAAUGUGUCUCUUCAUGGAUAUCUUCCGAGGCUCAAGCAGGGGAAGUGCUUUACGAGGGAGGAGCACUCAUAACCAGCGCAUUGAGAGACUAUGGAGUGAUGUGUGGAGAGGUGUUACAAACGUCUAUUAUUCAUUGUUUGCAUGGCUGGAGAAUGAAGGAAAAUUGGACUCCAGUAAUGAAAUGCACAUGUGGGCUCUUCAUUUUGUUUAUCUCCCUCGGAUAAACCGUGAUCUCAGAUUGUUCAUUCAUCAGUGGAACCACCACAAGCUGAGAACUGGCCACAUGUCACUGCAUCAGAUUUUUGUGCAAGCUUGUUUGUCACAACAUUUGCAACAUCACACUGGCAUUCAAGGCCUCUUUGGAGCAGAUGAACAGCCAGAAGCAGAGGGCGGCGAGGCAGGGGCAGCCGCAGCGGAGGGCAGCGAGGCAGGGGCAGCCGCAGCGGAGGGCGGCGAGGCAAGAGUGCCUGCCUUUGACUGGCAUCAAACAGUGGAUGUCCCUGUGAAUCGGUUUAUACUCAAUGGAGAACAAUUGGAACACAUCAGGCAAAACAUAUAUCCUUUGGGGGGUGCAACUGGAACAUGUUCCUAAUAUCAGUUAGGAACUGAUAUUUUUGAACAGAUACUUAACUACCUGUCUUGAAUACAAAUGCCAAUUGCUCUGAUCCAGUAUUUUUAACUUUUUGCAGACAGACUUCAAAAUGUUAAAUACCAAUGUUUGUGAAUAAACACGCUCAUAUCUUGAUUAAUGAUAACUUUUAAGAAUUAAACAAAUUCAAAACUGUUAAUUGUGUAACUUAUUUCAGGGUGCCAGGGUACUGAGAGAUUU
Astyanax mexicanus (Mexican tetra) is the source of this 1825-nucleotide long non-coding RNA. RefSeq lists it as uncharacterized. The transcript is spliced from 5 exons. The record is from RefSeq and is a predicted model, not a curated record. Lineage: Eukaryota; Metazoa; Chordata; Actinopteri; Characiformes; Acestrorhamphidae.